RNAcentral lists this ribosomal RNA (440 nucleotides) under uncultured bacterium. RNAcentral's name for it is "partial 16S ribosomal RNA". It matches the Rfam family "Bacterial small subunit ribosomal RNA", at positions 338 to 795 of the family's 1533-position model. The record is from RNAcentral.
CCUACGGGUGGCUGCAGUGGGGAAUAUUGCACAAUGGGGGAAACCCUGAUGCAGCGACGUCGCGUGAGUGAAGAAGUAUUUCGGUAUGUAAAGCUCUAUCAGCAGGGAAGAAAAUGACGGUACCUGAUUAAGAAGCCCCGGCUAACUACGUGCCAGCAGCCGCGGUAAUACGUCGGGGGCAGGCGUUAUCCGGAUUUACUGGGUGUAAAGGGAGCGUAGACGGGAGCACAAGUCUGGAGUGAAAUGCCGGGGCUUAACCCCGGAACUGCUUUGGAAACGGGGCAGCUAGAGUGCAGGAGAGGUAGGUGGAAUUAGUAGGGUAGCGGUGAAAUGCGUAGAUAUGAGGAGGAACUCCAGUGGCGAAGGCAGCUUACUGGACUGUAACUGACGUUGAGGCUCGAGAGCGUGGGGAGCAAACAGGAUUAGAUACCCGAGUAGUC